RNAcentral lists this ribosomal RNA (619 nucleotides) under Shewanella algae. RNAcentral's name for it is "bacterial SSU rRNA". It matches the Rfam family "Bacterial small subunit ribosomal RNA", at positions 109 to 724 of the family's 1533-position model. Lineage: Bacteria; Pseudomonadati; Pseudomonadota; Gammaproteobacteria; Alteromonadales; Shewanellaceae. RNAcentral also lists the same sequence under 1 other name. The record is from RNAcentral.
AGUAAUGCCUGGGAAUUUGCCCAUUUGUGGGGGAUAACAGUUGGAAACGACUGCUAAUACCGCAUACGCCCUACGGGGGAAAGCAGGGGACCUUCGGGCCUUGCGCUGAUGGAUAAGCCCAGGUGGGAUUAGCUAGUAGGUGAGGUAAAGGCUCACCUAGGCGACGAUCCCUAGCUGGUCUGAGAGGAUGAUCAGCCACACUGGGACUGAGACACGGCCCAGACUCCUACGGGAGGCAGCAGUGGGGAAUAUUGCACAAUGGGGGAAACCCUGAUGCAGCCAUGCCGCGUGUGUGAAGAAGGCCUUCGGGUUGUAAAGCACUUUCAGCGAGGAGGAAAGGGUGUAAGUUAAUACCUUACAUCUGUGACGUUACUCGCAGAAGAAGCACCGGCUAACUCCGUGCCAGCAGCCGCGGUAAUACGGAGGGUGCGAGCGUUAAUCGGAAUUACUGGGCGUAAAGCGUGCGCAGGCGGUUUGUUAAGCGAGAUGUGAAAGCCCCGGGCUCAACCUGGGAACCGCAUUUCGAACUGGCAAACUAGAGUCUUGUAGAGGGGGGUAGAAUUCCAGGUGUAGCGGUGAAAUGCGUAGAGAUCUGGAGGAAUACCGGUGGCGAAGGCGG